RNAcentral lists this transfer RNA (72 nucleotides) under Trichonephila inaurata madagascariensis. It matches the Rfam family "tRNA". Rfam says of the family: Transfer RNA (tRNA) molecules are approximately 80 nucleotides in length. Their secondary structure includes four short double-helical elements and three loops (D, anti-codon, and T loops). The record is from Rfam by way of RNAcentral. Lineage: Eukaryota; Metazoa; Arthropoda; Arachnida; Araneae; Nephilidae.
UAGGGCGUAGCUCAGAUGGUAGAGCGCUCGCUUAGCAUGCGAGAGGUACCGGAUCGGAUACCGGCGCUCCAA